This 160-nucleotide ribosomal RNA is filed under the name uncultured bacterium. RNAcentral describes it as "partial 16S ribosomal RNA". The record is from RNAcentral.
CACAGAGUUAGCCGGUGCUUAUUCUGUCGGUAACGUCAAAACACUAACGUAUUAGGUUAAUGCCCUUCCUCCCAACUUAAAGUGCUUUACAAUCCGAAGACCUUCUUCACACACGCGGCAUGGCUGGAUCAGGCUUUCGCCCAUUGUCCAAUAUUCCCCA